RNAcentral lists this long non-coding RNA (579 nucleotides) under Vulpes vulpes (red fox). RNAcentral's name for it is "lncRNA (ENSVVUG00000006044.1)". The record is from RNAcentral. Lineage: Eukaryota; Metazoa; Chordata; Mammalia; Carnivora; Canidae.
GAUCCAUCUCUCAAUUACAAGUGCCAAGCCUUGUCCUUCACACUGCAACCUCACCAGUGGCACCCCCAGCUUCCAGGAUUAUUCAUUCACAAUGAGAAAGACAAGGGUCUGCCCUGUGGCUGGAGGCAAGGGUGGACCCUCCAAGUGAACUUCAUAUGGUAGGGGUGGUAGGCUAAGCAUCUCUGCUUUCUCACUAACACCUCAGAACUGAGGCAGCAGUAAAAUCAGCUAGGAAACAAGAAAACAGCUUAGUGCUUAGUACAUAGCAAGUUCUCAAAGUUAUUGUUACUGAGCACCAGGACGAUGGACAACAUUAAAUAUGAUCUUAGGUUGGGGUCCACAGAGGUGGACUCAUCUCUCCUGUCUGUGUGCUCCCAUCAGACAAGCAACCUUCCUGCCAAAAUUAAAGCCAUAAUCCCACAAGAUACAUUGUGUUAUGGGCUACAGCCUGGAUCCAACAUCUAGCUUCUGAAAGUUAAAGCAAUCAAUCCCACAGGAAUUUGUGGAAAUUAGAAAUGUGUGUCCUUUCAAACACGUGACUAUAAUAAAAGUAUUAAAAAUAGCUAACCCCGUUCUAGU